UAUGCUUAUCCCUACCCUGCCCAAGGUUACUACCAAGGCCCUCCUGUAGUGGCACCUCCACAGUAUUAUUCUGCUCCUCCACCUCCACAGUAUUAUGCUGCUCCUCCACCUCCCAGAAGAGAACCUGGUUUCCUCGAGGGAUGUCUGGCGGCUCUGUGUUGCUGUUGCCUCGUUGAUGAGUGUUGCUGUGACCCUUCCAUCAUCUUCAUCAGCUGAUCCCUUCUUGUGGUGGUGUCUCCCAUUGGUCUUUUCCUUCUACGUUAAUUCCCCACUUUUAAGAUUUCCAUAAUCUUGAUUAGCGGCCAUGUUGAAUCACUAAAACAUUGUACUAGUAAUCAUGUGUAAUCACUCCAAUUGAAUGUAUGAAACUUUGCAGUAACCAUGGUUAAUCAGUCCAAAUGAAUGUAUGUGGAUGUGAUGCUCUUUGUUUA
Molecule: long non-coding RNA, 431 nt
Organism: Rhododendron vialii
Lineage: Eukaryota; Viridiplantae; Streptophyta; Magnoliopsida; Ericales; Ericaceae
Exons: 3
Source: RefSeq, a predicted model, not a curated record